RNAcentral lists this unclassified non-coding RNA (217 nucleotides) under soil metagenome. RNAcentral's name for it is "partial contains 5.8S ribosomal RNA, internal transcribed spacer 2, and large subunit ribosomal RNA". The record is from RNAcentral.
AAGACUAUAGACCUGCGGAGUACCUGCGGAGGGAUCAUUACAAGUGACCCCGGUCUAACCACCGGGAUGUUCAUAACCCUUUGUUGUCCGACUCUGUUGCCUCCGGGGCGACCCUGCCUUCGGGCGGGGGCUCCGGGUGGACACUUCAAACUCUUGCGUAACUUUGCAGUCUGAGUAAACUUAAUUAAUAAAUUAAAACUUUUAACAAUGGAUCUCU